AGCUCGGGACGGCGAGGAGAGAACGAGAGGAGCCGGCUGGGCUCGAGCCCACCUCUCCCUGCCUGACAGGGCAGCCCAGCUUCGACUUUCGACGCUCCGGCAGGAUAAUUUAAAAGAAGCUCCUCCGGCCUCGCACCCGGCAUUCUCCCACCUCCCGCCGCCGCCACUGACUUGGCCGGUCCUUGGCGCGGGUAUGGGGCGGAGGGGCAGAGCGCGCGCGCUUCUCGCCUGGAUCUUCUUGGCACUUUAACAUUGCCACUGCAGAAUAAAUUAUUUGGAAUCCAAGUGUUUUCUGAGAACUCAACUCAAAAUUUGUUUCCUUGGAUUUUGAUCAGAUAUACUCCCAGGUAAGAGAAUUCUUUAGAUUACAACUUUACGUGAAUGGGCCUAUUCUCCCACUCCCUUCCACAAAAGAGAAGAAAAAAGUAUACAAUGUAAUAAAUAUAGAGAAAGUUAUCUUCCCUUUGUUCUGGGAGUAUGGGGAAAGAAAUGUGUAGAAGGUUGCUGAAC
This is a non-coding RNA of Notechis scutatus (mainland tiger snake), 510 nucleotides long. Lineage: Eukaryota; Metazoa; Chordata; Lepidosauria; Squamata; Elapidae. The record is from RefSeq and is a predicted model, not a curated record.